UACGUAGGGUCCGAGCGUUGUCCGGAAUUACUGGGCGUAAAGAGCUCGUAGGCGGUUUGUCGCGUCUGCUGUGAAAACCCGAGGCUCAACCCCGGACUUGCAGUGGGUACGGGCAGACUAGAGUGUGGUAGGGGAGACUGGAAUUCCUGGUGUAGCGGUGAAAUGCGCAGAUAUCAGGAGGAACACCAAUGGCGAAGGCAGCUCGCUGGGACGUGACUGA
Molecule: ribosomal RNA, 220 nt
Filed under: uncultured bacterium
Lineage: Bacteria
Description: partial 16S ribosomal RNA
Rfam family: Bacterial small subunit ribosomal RNA
Source: RNAcentral